RNAcentral lists this ribosomal RNA (253 nucleotides) under uncultured bacterium. RNAcentral describes it as "partial 16S ribosomal RNA". It matches the Rfam family "Bacterial small subunit ribosomal RNA", at positions 524 to 776 of the family's 1533-position model. The record is from RNAcentral.
UACGAAGGGGGCUAGCGUUGCUCGGAAUUAUUGGGCGUAAAGGGCUCGUAGGCGGUUUGUCGCGUCGGGAGUGAAAACUCAGGGCUUAACCCUGAGCCUGCUCCCGAUACGGGCAGACUAGAGGUAUGCAGGGGAGAACGGAAUUCCUGGUGUAGCGGUGAAAUGCGCAGAUAUCAGGAGGAACACCGGUGGCGAAGGCGGUUCUCUGGGCAUUACCUGACGCUGAGGAGCGAAAGUGUGGGGAGCGAACAGG